Long non-coding RNA from Aethalodelphis obliquidens (Pacific white-sided dolphin), 1607 nucleotides. RefSeq lists it as uncharacterized. The record is from RefSeq and is a predicted model, not a curated record. NCBI's taxonomy places the organism in Eukaryota, Metazoa, Chordata, Mammalia, Artiodactyla, Delphinidae. The transcript has 4 exons.
CUCCAUUUUCAGUUUUUUAAGGAAUCUCCAUACUGUUCCGUGUAAGUUCCAUCCUCAUCCUUCAUUACUAAGAAUGGUAACAAGUCACCUGCAUUACUAACCUAGUCUGCACCUCUCAGGGUACCAGCAGGUGGUGCCUAGCCUAAUCAAAACUCAUAUUUAGAUGCUAGAAAAUAAGUUUCCUGUUGCACCAGGCCCAGAGCAUUCUAUUACAAGAUAUGCUGAGUGUCUACCCCACAUCCACUCCUGGGCCAGGCACUGUGGGAGACAUGAAAGAAAUAGAAAGCGUUGGACACAGGCAGAUUGUUGCAGAAAAGAGUAGUUGCAGAGAAUAGCUGGGAAGCUGUUUCUGCCAUUCAGGAAGGAGAUGGUAAAGGCCUGGACUAGGCAGCGCUGGCAAAAGCAGGAGAGAAGCAGCAGUUAGGGCGUCACCAAAGAAAGCAUAAAUCAGGCUGAGCAUCACUGCAGAGUGCAAAGAGCACGGGCUGGGUCUGAUCUCUACCUCACAGCUGCGUGGCCCCAAAUCGUUCUGAACCUCAGUUUUUCACCUGUGAAAUUAGAACAGUAACACUGUCCCCACCUCACUGGAUUAUUGAGAAGAACCAUGAGUUAGCAUCCAGCCCUUGGUCUAUCUCAUCGUGAGUUCAACGUGAUGGUGGGAUAGUCAUGCUGAUGGCUGGAAACCCAAGGGCUGAGAGCUGGCAACGGAGGACAGGAAGGCAGGAGUCCUGAGCUGGGAGAGGCUGGGGUCGUUCAGGCCGCAUGUGACUCUGAAUUCUUAGAAGAGGCUGCAGCAGCCGUGCCUAAGUUCCUGGACAGGGACCGAACCUGCGCCCCCUACAGUGGAAGGGCAGAGUCUUUUAACUGCUGGACCGCCAGGGAAGUCCCAAGGCUGGAUCUUGAUUACACCACUGGUCUCAGAGCUGCAGAACGUUCCAUCAUGUGUGUGGAUAUAUUUAGUAGUAGUUUAUUCAACCAGUUUCCUAUUCAUGGCCACUAGGGUUGUAACUAGUCCUUUGCUGUUACAAGAGUGCAGCAGUGAACACACCUGUGCACGUUUUUCAUAUUUUGCCACCAUGUCUUCGGGAGAGACUCCUAGGGUACUCCCCUGCUGCGGCCCCAUCCCCACAACUGUUCUGGUGCCCGCAGCCUGGGCAUGGGAUGCUGGAAUGCUAACUCCAGCCUCCACACCUCCUUUCCAUUCGAUUGAUUGGCCAGGCCGGUAGAAACAGCAACAGGAAGGCGGUCUCCCUUCAUUUUUGUCGGCCAGUCUCAUACCACAGCAUCUUACUGGGGGGAACUCUAGCUGGAAAGGAAUCUGAGAAGGGCAGUUUUCUGCUUUCUUGUCUCUACCGCACAGGACAGCUCGAAGAAGUGGGUUGGGUGCCAGUCACCACAUCCAGCUCCCCACUUAACUCCUUUGUUUCACAGAAGAGGAAAUUGAGGUUUGGGAGGGGUGUGUUAUUAGCUGAAGAUCACUAAACUGGUUCGUGGCUAACAGCCUGGCCAUUUCCUCCUCACGUCCCUGCCAAUGGGAGUCCUUGUGAGUUGGAGUUUCACUGAAUCAAAUAACUUAAAAAGGCAGAAGCCACUCCAUACGCUAUGAA